ACUUGUUAACUAGCACGGGCGUUGAGGUAACUCUACGCCCGUUUGUGCGUGUUAGGGGUAAACAAUACAAU
RNAcentral lists this small RNA (71 nucleotides) under Xenorhabdus budapestensis. RNAcentral's name for it is "tpke11". It matches the Rfam family "tpke11". From Rfam's summary of the family: In Yersinia located in ICR upstream dnaJ (chaperone)gene. Has temperature responsive RNA structure. Lineage: Bacteria; Pseudomonadati; Pseudomonadota; Gammaproteobacteria; Enterobacterales; Morganellaceae. The record is from RNAcentral.